RNAcentral lists this unclassified non-coding RNA (224 nucleotides) under plant metagenome. RNAcentral describes it as "partial contains small subunit ribosomal RNA, internal transcribed spacer 1, and 5.8S ribosomal RNA". The record is from RNAcentral.
GCUCCGUUGGUGAACCAGCGGAGGGAUCAUUACAGGACUCGCAAGACUCCUUCACCCUGUGAACCUCACUACAAGCACGUUACUUCAGCGGUUGUCCCGGCGGGGGUUUUCCCUCGCCGGGGCGAACAGCCCGCCGGCAUCCUACUAUACUCUUGCUCUUUGCGUUGGCAUCCCGAGAAAAAACAAACAAGUUAAAACUUUCAACAACGGAUCUCUUGGUUCUG